Long non-coding RNA from Melanotaenia boesemani (Boeseman's rainbowfish), 481 nucleotides. RefSeq lists it as uncharacterized. The record is from RefSeq and is a predicted model, not a curated record. The transcript is spliced from 3 exons. Lineage: Eukaryota; Metazoa; Chordata; Actinopteri; Atheriniformes; Melanotaeniidae.
CGACCGGCACAGUCCUCGGCUCCUUGAGUUAUUUUGAUCCAAGAGAGGGAAUGUUGGACAGUUGUUGACACAGAUUUCACAACAGACAAAUACAACAGACCCAACUGCGAUCCGGACACAUGUGCUCAGAGGGCUUACAAUCAUCCUGGGGGACAACCCCACAAACUUCUUCAAAGCAGGCUUUGAGUCUGAUGAUGAGUCAUUCCGUGACCUUGACAUCGGGAUACUACUCGUUGAGCGUGAAGAUGCUGUGGCCACAUCUUCCCAUCAUCUCAGUCCAGCCUCGUUGAAAAUCAUCAUUGAGGGAGAAGUUGUGAUGAGAGACAUUGAAGAUCUGCCAAAAGCAAUGUGCAUUCUGUUUGGACUCACAUAUGCACUCCAUCUUAACUACCCUAAGACAAUGAAGCUAACAUUUCUGUUCAUCCAGCAGGUAUUGCUCUCAUUAGGCCACAGUGACCUAAAACCAAAGCUACAGACUUUG